Molecule: transfer RNA, 68 nt
Filed under: Mesechinus dauuricus (Daurian hedgehog)
Lineage: Eukaryota; Metazoa; Chordata; Mammalia; Eulipotyphla; Erinaceidae
Also listed under: 3 other names
Description: tRNA-Tyr
Rfam family: tRNA
About the family: Transfer RNA (tRNA) molecules are approximately 80 nucleotides in length. Their secondary structure includes four short double-helical elements and three loops (D, anti-codon, and T loops).
Source: RNAcentral
GGUAAAAUGGCUGAGAUAUAAGUAUUAGACUGUAAAUCUAAAGACAGAGAAUAGACCUCUUUUUACCA